CAACAUAAUUCCCUUGGAAUUCAGCAAAAGAAGCAAACAACAAACAAAUAUUUUGUUCUAUGAUUAAGGGAUUAAUUAACGUGAGCAGCAAAUGACUACAAGGUAUUUUGGUUGUUUUUAUCAAAAGGAAAUAAUUUAUAACGUGUAAGAGGUCUUGAGCAAGUUAGGAAAAUUUUAUAUUGAUUGUGUUGGAAGGCAUCAUAUAUAUAUUUCCGCACCAGCACCAAAACGUAAAGGAGAAGUGUUUGUAUGAAGGGCAACUAAGUAUGCUUUCAUUCUUCUAUAAUUAUUUCUUCAACGAGUUUAUGAUUCUAACGCUAGUUCCCUCCGGACCAUGGUGAAUCGGACCAUGGUGAAUCGGAGAUUUCUUCGAAGUGAAGUAAGAUGAAAGAAGAGUAAUUCUUGGCAUAUAAGGUUUGGCAUAUUAAUUGUGGAAGUUCGUGGUUGGACUGAGUUCUUGAACGACGUGAGGUACAGAUAGUCGGUUUGGUGACCCUUCAGCAUAGGACUUCCACUCAGCUGUCUUGGAGAGCUCUGUUGUUCCGGAGCCUAGACUUUUGGUACAGAUCUUAUGAUGUACGUAUAUGUUUACCCAGGGGUACAGCGGGUCCCUGUCCCGUCGCAUUUCGCUAUCGAUACUCUUAGAGGUCUGUAGCCAUGUGUGUGGGUUGUGUAUAAGUUUGUUCAGCUGUGUCUAUACGAGGUGCUAUGGACAUGUUCGUAUGUAGUGGCAGCCUUGUCGGCUUGCGCAUGAUAUUGAUAUGUAGUGGCAGCCUUGUUGGCUUGUGUAUCAUUUUAUGUUUUGACUAGUUGUGACUCCUCAUGAGACAGGUUAUCUGAGUAUGUAUAUAUAUGAUGACGUUAUGAACCUUUGGGGUUCUUA
This is a long non-coding RNA of Lycium barbarum (goji berry), 883 nucleotides long. RefSeq lists it as uncharacterized. The record is from RefSeq and is a predicted model, not a curated record. The transcript has 3 exons. NCBI's taxonomy places the organism in Eukaryota, Viridiplantae, Streptophyta, Magnoliopsida, Solanales, Solanaceae.